Long non-coding RNA from Chroicocephalus ridibundus (black-headed gull), 403 nucleotides. RefSeq lists it as uncharacterized. The record is from RefSeq and is a predicted model, not a curated record. Lineage: Eukaryota; Metazoa; Chordata; Aves; Charadriiformes; Laridae. The transcript has 3 exons.
UGCAGGAGGGGGGCUGCUCCAGUCCAUGGUAAGUGAUGCUCCAGUCCUUGUAGGAACUCAUCUGCUAAUUGUAGAUGUUCUCAACAUUAGGGUUGCCGUGUCUCCAGCCAGGAGGAGGAGAGGGAUAACCGAGUUUAUUGGACUGUGUGGAUUCAAUGGCCUGUGUGGAUUAGCGCCACUGUCUGUUCAUCUGCCUUUGAUCCUGAUCCGAGUAGGUGUUGUAAGACAUGGGCUGCUGCUCCUCACCCUCCACCACCCGUACCGGCACGAGGUACUCUGGCUUCAAGAAUGAGCACUGCCACUGCUUCAACUCUGACAACAACCACUGCCGCUACUCCAGGCUCGACAAUGAGCACCGUCACCACUCCAGCUGCUCCGAUACAGAGUGCCGGCCACAGUUUGC